Molecule: ribosomal RNA, 253 nt
Filed under: uncultured bacterium
Lineage: Bacteria
Description: partial 16S ribosomal RNA
Rfam family: Bacterial small subunit ribosomal RNA
Source: RNAcentral
UACGUAGGGGGCUAGCGUUGUCCGGAAUCAUUGGGCGUAAAGCGCGUGUAGGCGGUUCGGUAAGUCCGCUGUGAAAGUCGGGGGCUCAACCCUCGGAUGCCGGUGGAUACUGUCGAGCUUGAGUACGGAAGAGGCGAGUGGAAUUCCUGGUGUAGCGGUGAAAUGCGUAGAUAUCAGGAGGAACACCCGUGGCGAAGGCGGCUCUCUGGAACGCAACUGACGCUGAGACGCGAAAGCGUGGGGAGCAAACAGG